Molecule: non-coding RNA, 148 nt
Organism: Marchantia polymorpha subsp. ruderalis
Lineage: Eukaryota; Viridiplantae; Streptophyta; Marchantiopsida; Marchantiales; Marchantiaceae
Source: the annotation of a GenBank genome assembly
CUCGCUAUGCAGCUUGUGGUUCCACUUCCAGCAUUUGCAACUGCUGACAGCUGAUUAUGGGAGCGAAUUGACAACUUUGGUUGAAUUCCGCUCCCAUACUCAGCUAUCGGCAUUUGCAAACCUGCAGAUAUUACGAGAUCUGAGCGAG